AGCAGUCUGCGCAUGCUCGCCAGCCUUCUCCUCAGGCCUGUCGGAGGUCGGUGAAGCCCGCGGAGUGGGCGCAGACGGUAGGGGUGGCCCGUCCCGUUGUCUGCGAGGUUUGGUAAGCUGGUAAUGAGAAUGUCUGUUAUUUUGUUUAACUGCUUUACCCACUCCAUUUUCUCCCUAAAAUCUUUCCAUUGAAAAGGUGCUGAAGUCAAGAUGGCUUCCAGGGCCAGCAGACCUGCAGUCUGUGCAGGAAGCGGGACGCCAACUGUAGCGAAUGAAGAUAUCAGGCUGCGCAGACAGGGACCCUGAAGGACAGUCACACAUGGCACAACGACACGUGGCUAAUGACAGGCUGCGUAUAUGACGGUGAUCCUGUAAGAUAGGACUCCCCUACCACACCUCCCCCCGGGCAAAGGACUGGUGGCCCAAGGCCUGUUAGGAACCUGCGGCAGAGCAGGAGAAAUCUACCAUAAGGAAGAGAUAUCCCUUCUGCUUGUAGGCAUGUAUGUAUGUAUGAAGUAUAUAUGUAUUCAUUCAUUCCCUUAUUCGUUUGUACUAUUAGUGUGGAUUCAUGAGUGUCUGUUUUAUCCUGUGAAUUGCUAAUUACUAUUGCUUAUUUUGUUGCACAAGUUGUCCCAGGCUGGGUCGCUGGCAGCUUCUUUAAGCUGCCUCUUGUUUCUUUCAGUAUUUCCUAAUUAUUUUCUGGGCAGUUCUUUAAUUUCUGGCAUUGUAAGAUGCUCCAACCUAAUCUUGCAUCUUCCCACCAUAGCAUUGGAAUUAAUCAUUUUCUAAGGAGCCCUGGUUUCUUUGAAAAUUCAUAUUUAGGAACCAAUAGCUGCACUCCAGAUAGGCUCAUUGCUAUGGGGAUGUCAUUGCUUCUGGUCCACCUGGGCAGAUGGAGUUAAGGAAAAAAAAAUAUAUAUAUAUGUACAUAUUUUAUAUAUAUACACACAUACAUACCAGCACGCCUGUGUGUGUUUCCAUAUGUAUCUAUAUACACGUAAUAUAAGAUUAUUUAUACGUAUAUUAACCUUAAGUUGAUGUUGAUAUCUGUCACUCAUCCUAUCCUCCCCUUUUCCUUAUUUGUAAUUUCUUUUUCUUCUUUUUUUUAUUUUUGAGACAGGGUCUCUCUUGCCCUGCCCUGGCUGUCACAUGAUCACAGCCCACUCAACCUCCUGGGCUCAAGCAAUUCUUGCGGGGUCUACAGGUAUAUGAUACUACGCUGGGCAAUUUUUAAAUAUUUUGUAGAGUCAAGGUCUCGCCGUAUAGCCCAGGCUGGUCUCAACCUCCUGGGCUCAAGCGAUCUCCCUCCACCUUGGCCUCCUGAAGUGCUGGGAUUACAGGCAUGAGCCACUGCCCUGGGCCUAUAACUUCUUUUUCCAACAAUGAGAAAUCUGGCCCUCUUCACCAUGGUCUAUUUUCUUAUUUGCUUAGUCCUAGACACAAAGUAGUUUCAGAAUUUCUCACCAUACUCCUGUGGAAAACACAUUUCCUGAUGAGAGUAAAAUAUUUGUGUAUAUCUGUUUCUGGCUUUUUUUGUCUUUAGCUUUACAAUGUACAGUCAAUAUUCUGUUUUCCAAAUUCAUAGAGUUUGGCGAUUUUCUUCCCCACGCCUCAGUGUAGUUGUGUUAUCUAUUGAUAAUUGAGUUAGGUUCAUUUUGUACUGUUUGCAUUCUAUUUUGGGUUCCCUCAUCACAGUUGAUUUUAAAUGUUAAUUUGGGCAGGAGGAAUAUGGAAGAGCAUUGUUCUGAGAACCAUAAUUAUAUCAAAAGCUACACCCAGAAGUAUCACUUUCCCCUUUCUCUUCUCAUUCCCUCCUCUCAUUCUUUCCACCCCAAUUCCCACCCAUGCCCUCUAGGUAAAUAAUCUCAUUAAUUUCUCGUUUCUACUUGUUUCUUUUGCACAAGACAGCUGAUACAUGUAUACUUUCCCACAUCUCCUUUCUUUCUUACAUGAAGGAUAAUAUAUUAUACUCUUCUUAUUUUGCUUUUUUAUUUAACAGUAUAUUCUGGAAAUCAGUUCAUACCAAUUUUCAGAGAUCUUUCCCCUUUUUUGGCACAUCUGCAUAAUACUGCAUGUUCCAUGGUUUUCUCAAUGACUACUUAGGUUGUUUCUAAUAUUUUUCAAUAAGAAACGGUAUUGCAAUUAAUAAUCUAAUGCACAUAUAUAUGUAUAUGAGAGGUCUUCAAAAAGUUCAUGGGAAAUGUGUCUUAUGAAAAAACUAUGCAUGAGUUUUAAACUUUUUUGCGUCAAAAUAAACAUGUACUAACUUCUUAAAACAUGUCUGAACAGGUCCAAGUUUGAGGCACUAAGAAGGAUAAGGUAUCAAUUUGAAAAGAGCCCCUAUCAUAGCAAUAUGACUUGAAAGCACAAAG
Molecule: long non-coding RNA, 2372 nt
Organism: Sapajus apella (tufted capuchin)
Lineage: Eukaryota; Metazoa; Chordata; Mammalia; Primates; Cebidae
Exons: 4
Source: RefSeq, a predicted model, not a curated record